RNAcentral lists this small RNA (135 nucleotides) under Marmota monax (woodchuck). Lineage: Eukaryota; Metazoa; Chordata; Mammalia; Rodentia; Sciuridae. The record is from RNAcentral.
GCUGGGUGGGGAGGUGCAUGCCUGUAAUCCCAGCCACUCAGGAGGCUGAGGCAGGAGGAUCAUGAAUUCAAAGCCACCCUCAGCAAUUCAGCAAUUUAAUGAGGCCCUAAGCAACCUAGUGAGAUCCUGUCUCUA